GACGAACGCUGGCGGCAUGCCUAAUACAUGCAAGUCGAGCGAACAGAUGAAGUGCUUGCACUUCUGACGUUAGCGGCGAACGGGUGAGUAACACGUAAGGAAUCUACCUAUAAGCGGGGGAUAACAUUCGGAAACGGGUGCUAAUACCGCAUAAUAUCUUCUUCCGCAUGGAAGAAGAUUGAAAGACGGCUCUGCUGUCACUUAUAGAUGACCUUGCGGUGCAUUAGUUAGUUGGUGGGGUAACGGCCUACCAAGACGAUGAUGCAUAGCCGACCGGAGAGGGUGAUCGGCCACAUUGGGACGGAGACACGGCCCAAACUCCUACGGGAGGCAGCAGUAGGGAAUCUUCCGCAAUGGGCGAAAGCCUGACGGAGCAAUGCCGCGUGAGUGAAGAAGGCCUUCGGGUCGUAAAACUCUGUUAUAAGAGAAGAACAAAUUGUAGAGUAACUGCUACAGUCUUGACGGUAUCUUAUCAGAAAGCCACGGCUAACUACGUGCCAGCCGCCGCCGUAA
Molecule: ribosomal RNA, 513 nt
Filed under: uncultured bacterium
Lineage: Bacteria
Description: partial 16S ribosomal RNA
Rfam family: Bacterial small subunit ribosomal RNA
Source: RNAcentral